Molecule: non-coding RNA, 1129 nt
Organism: Theobroma cacao (cacao)
Lineage: Eukaryota; Viridiplantae; Streptophyta; Magnoliopsida; Malvales; Malvaceae
Source: RefSeq, a predicted model, not a curated record
UUUAUGCCUUUAAUGACUCAUUGUAUAUAUUGAAUGACUUCUAAUGAAAAGGUUGCAUGAGUCUGAACCAUGAAAUAGAAGCUCCCUCUUUGCCCCUGUUUCUUGCACCAAAAACAGAACUUGGUUCUUAAUUAUCUGUGUCAUUUGACAACAUCCCUCUCUUCGUUAGCUUUCUCUGAAGGUUUUGUACCUUUGCAGCUGCCAUUCCAACAAAGACUAAUUUAAGCUUUCAUGUCCUGUUUUAGGUUGAAUUUGCAGCUAUAAGCUCUAACUCUGCAUCCAUUCAUGUUCUACCCUUCACGGUACAGACCUGCUCCUCAGUUGAAGAAAAUACCGUCAACAGUAUUUCUUCAUUUUGUAGGUAUGACAAAUUAGAAACAAAGCGUAUUAUCGAAGUAAAAAUUCAUCAAAACCAACCAUGCUCACGUCUGCAGUAGUCAAUUCUACAACAACAUGCAUGAAGAUUUGAACAUUGAAGACCAUUGAAGCUGGACUAAACACAUUUAGGCUGUUGCUUAAAGCAAUCCUAUUCCUAAUAGAAACUCCAGCUUCUCCCUGGUGGUGAUGUAUAUGCAGUCGUAUUACAGUGCAGCUAACAGUGACUAUGCAGUGCCCAAGCACGAAAUAUGCAAUUUUUGUAGAGGAGAAGGAAAGAAACAUGAACUUUGAGACAGAGCUUUAGACUUUUGUAUGAGUUUGAUUGAAACCACCAUGCCUACAAAUUUACAGCAGCCAUUCUCCUCGUAUAACUAUAACAUCCACUUAUGCAUUUGCAGAAACAUGAUUUCUACUUUCACACAAUCUCAAUUCAUACCUUCCAAAAUAUGGUUGAAUUCAUUGGAGUAAAAGAAGCUUAAGUGCUGAAUGUUCUCUAUCAAAUAUUUUAUUAGUGAGUCUGUUAUAAUGUUUUAUUGUUUGAUUGGAAAUGCUAUAAAGAGAAACUAACCUUCAAAAUUCCUGCCUGUGGUCUAAAGGCGUUUCUCUUACUUUUCUCUUUCCAUUUUCUUAUUUGCCUUUGUUUUUCUUUUGUGUGCCCUCUAAAGCACAUGCAACUUCUUGUUGAGCAAUUCGAUGCUUAAAAAAUAUGGCCCAAAAAUAAACAUAUAUGAAAUAGAGCAUAAAACAGUAA